GUGCUCGCUUUGGCAGCACAUAUGCUAAAAUUGGAACCAUGCAGAGAAGAUUAACAUGGCCCCUGUGCAAGGAUGACACCCAAAUUCGUGAAGCGUUCCAUAUCAAA
RNAcentral lists this small nuclear RNA (107 nucleotides) under Castor canadensis (American beaver). The record is from RNAcentral. Lineage: Eukaryota; Metazoa; Chordata; Mammalia; Rodentia; Castoridae.